UACGUAGGGUGCGAGCGUUGUCCGGAAUUAUUGGGCGUAAAGAGCUCGUAGGCGGCCUGUCGCGUCGGAUGUGAAAGCCCGGGGCUCAACCCCGGGUCUGCAUUCGAUACGGGCAGGCUAGAGUUCGGUAGGGGAGAUCGGAAUUCCUGGUGUAGCGGUGAAAUGCGCAGAUAUCAGGAGGAACACCGGUGGCGAAGGCGGAUCUCUGGGCCGAUACUGACGCUGAGGAGCGAAAGCGUGGGGAGCGAACAGG
This 253-nucleotide ribosomal RNA is filed under the name uncultured bacterium. RNAcentral describes it as "partial 16S ribosomal RNA". It matches the Rfam family "Bacterial small subunit ribosomal RNA", at positions 524 to 776 of the family's 1533-position model. The record is from RNAcentral.